This is a long non-coding RNA of Pogonomyrmex barbatus (red harvester ant), 866 nucleotides long. NCBI's taxonomy places the organism in Eukaryota, Metazoa, Arthropoda, Insecta, Hymenoptera, Formicidae. The record is from RefSeq and is a predicted model, not a curated record.
GCAAUCAAUGUGAGGAGAAGAAUAAUCGAUUGUGAUUCAUCAAUCUUUUACGAUUUACUAUUCAUCUACUGUUGUUACUGCCCACGUUGUAGAUCACGUUUUAGCUGCUUUACUAAUUGAAUGCUGUCCAAGGUGUACGUCUAUGUAUAUUACAUAUUGUUGGGUGCUGAUUCAACAUCGGAAGUUAAGUCAACGUCGGGUAAUCCCGGGAUAUCACUCACCUCGGAAGAUUGUGAAAGAUUGUAAAGGACUGUGAAGGACUGUGAAAGACUGCGAAAAACUGGGAAAAAUUAGGAUUAUUUGUAUUAGAUAUUAAUUAGAUUGUCCUUGGAGUGGAACAGGAGUGGACCAUUAAAUUGAUAGAAAAAGAAGAAAAUGAAGAUUAUCGAUCAACAAGUUAUGCCAAUAAGAUUGUGACGUGAGGAAAAUUGAGACCAUUAUUGAAAACUAUAAAAAAAGGCAGAAACUCAUUCAAAAGAAGAACUCAUUCAUCCAGAUAUUAAUAUCUAAACAUCUGAUCUAGAAAAAUCUAUCAAAAUGUCAAGUAAAAAAUACAAAAAUUUAUCAAAGCAUGGAAUAGUAAUAAAAGAUAUAAUAAAUUCUCAAUACUUUUGUAUAUUUUGCAACUGUUCAAUAAGUUCCUUAUAUAACGUUUAUCAACAUUUAGAAGGAAAACGUCAUCAGAUACGUUUAAAAGCUAAUAAGUUAGACCAUUCUAUAAAGCAUAAGAAACAAGAUUCAAAUGACGAUAUACAUAAUAAACAAAAUGGUAUUCCUCUUAAUAUAAAAGUACCAGUACAAUUAAGUAAUAGUAAGAGAUUAGAUGGAACAGUAUGGCCAGAACAUACAGGAAAUACAGCAAAAUA